Polypterus senegalus (gray bichir) is the source of this 1256-nucleotide long non-coding RNA. RefSeq lists it as uncharacterized. Lineage: Eukaryota; Metazoa; Chordata; Cladistia; Polypteriformes; Polypteridae. The transcript is spliced from 4 exons. The record is from RefSeq and is a predicted model, not a curated record.
UCAAGUCGUCAUGGAAACUGAGCUGUAAUCGUGUUAAAAGGCCUGCUUUUAAUUUUGACGGCCAACUUCUAACUCUUCGUAUAAGUCAGAGGUGUAAGAUAUCUAUUUCAAUGCACUUUUGACUUUGACAUAAUUCCUUUAAAAUUUUCUAGUUUCCAUAAAGAGGCUCUCCUACGGACUCCUUACAUGGUCACUUGUGUAUAAAUAUAACUUUUCCUCUUAGGGAUUUGCUAUACUUGUAUAGAUUUAUAGAAAUAAUAUAUUUUUUAAAAAAUUGGGUUAAUGUGAUAUACUUUUGGUAAAAAAAAUUAUAAACUAUAACGGUGAUUUAAAUAAUUCUAAAGAGUUUAUUAGUAAAUACAUUUAUGUUAAUCGUGAUAUUGUACUAAAUGCAAUACCUAGAGAAAUAGUGCCUUUUUUAAGAAGUUGUGGUGAUAGUCCGGUAGAAAGAUUUAACGAAUUUACAGCAUGCAUUAAAUUUCAGGAGAAAGAUAUUCCGAGUUAUGGAUGUAAUAAUCAAUUUUUAAGUCGUUAUUUCAAGAUAACCACAUGCUUGCUUUUGCAAUACACUGGAAUUCUUUAUUUGGAAAACACAUUGAUUGGAAAAAAGAAAUGUGGACGAGAAAGCAGAUGAUUGAUGGCUGUAACACCACUGACACCAUUACCAGUGCCUGCCCACUUGAAGCUGCCUAUUCCUGCCAGGAGAACUGAGAAACGGAAGUUGCACAAUCUUUGCCAGUUCAAUCCUAAACUCGCAUCCAGAAAGGCACUGAAGAAGUCUUUAAUGGAGUCUCCAAUCUAGUGAGGGAUACUAGUGAGCAGCAGUGGGCACUGCUGUUUUAUACCAGAAGACCAGAUGAUGCUGUGAACUGCAUUACCACCUCCAUCAAAUAAUAAGAAUGGAGCCCAGUUGUCAACAUGAUAUGGCACCCUUUGUGAACAACAGAAUGGCAGCCAAACCUGAUGUUAAAUAUUUUAAAUGACUCCAAAAUCAAAAACCAACAUCAAUGUUUUAACAAACCUGUCAAUGAUUAAAGACUACAUUACUUCCAGCUCCACUAUGAUGACAUCACUUCCACCCCCGAUUGAUGACGUCAAUUCCGUCGUCCUCAGAUGGCAUCACUUCCGGCUCCAACUGAUGACGUCACCUCCAUUUCCACUGAUAGAUGAUGUCACUUCCAUUUCCUCAAAUUCUCCUUCCUGCUGUUUCAAUAUAAAAGCUGCACCCUAACUGUAUUGAGUUUUUAAAUUUAAGU